RNAcentral lists this ribosomal RNA (446 nucleotides) under uncultured bacterium. RNAcentral describes it as "SSU rRNA". It matches the Rfam family "Bacterial small subunit ribosomal RNA", at positions 26 to 518 of the family's 1533-position model. The record is from RNAcentral.
AGAACGAACGCUGGCGGCAGGCUUAACACAUGCAAGUCGAACGCAUCCUUCGGGGUGAGUGGCAGACGGGUGAGUAACGCGUGGGAACAUGCCCUUCAGUUCGGAAUAACCCAGGGAAACUUGGGCUAAUACCGGAUACGUGCGAGAGCAGAAAGAUUUAUCGCUGAAGGAGUGGCCCGCGUCUGAUUAGCUAGUUGGUGAGGUAAAGGCUCACCAAGGCGACGAUCAGUAGCUGGUCUGAGAGGAUGAUCAGCCACACUGGGACUGAGACACGGCCCAGACUCCUACGGGAGGCAGCAGUGGGGAAUAUUGGACAAUGGGCGCAAGCCUGAUCCAGCCAUGCCGCGUGAGUGAUGAAGGCCUUAGGGUUGUAAAGCUCUUUCGGCGGGGACGAUAAUGACGGUACCCGCAGAAGAAGCCCCGGCUAACUUCGUGCCAGCAGCCGC